UAGAGUUUGAUCCUGGCUCAGAGCGAACGCUGGCGGCAGGCUUAACACAUGCAAGUCGAACGGCUCUUUCGGGAGCAGUGGCGGACGGGUGAGUAACGCGUGGGAACGUGCCCUAAGGUUCGGAACAACACAGGGAAACUUGUGCUAAUACCGGAUGUGCCCGAGAGGGGAAAGAUUCAUCGCCUUAGGAGCGGCCCGCGUCUGAUUAGCUAGUUGGUGGGGUAAAGGCCCACCAAGGCUACGAUCAGUAGCUGGUCUGAGAGGAUGGCCAGCCACACUGGGACUGAGACACGGCCCAGACUCCUACGGGAGGCAGCAGUGGGGAAUCUUGCGCAAUGGGCGAAAGCCUGACGCAGCCAUGCCGCGUGGAUGAUGAAGGUCUUAGGAUUGUAAAAUCCUUUCAGCGGGGACGAUAAUGACGGUACCCGCAGAAGAAGCCCCGGCUAACUUCGUGCCAGCAGCCGCGGUAAUACGAAGGGGGCUAGCGUUGCUCGGAAUUACUGGGCGUAAAGGGAGCGUAGGCGGAUCGUUUAGUCAGGGGUGAAAUCCCGGGGCUCAACCUCGGAACUGCCUUUGAUACUGGCGAUCUUGAGUAUGGGAGAGGUGUGUGGAACUCCGAGUGUAGAGGUGAAAUUCGUAGAUAUUCGGAAGAACACCAGUGGCGAAGGCGACACACUGGCCCAUUACUGACGCUGAGCUCGAAA
This 704-nucleotide ribosomal RNA is filed under the name uncultured bacterium. RNAcentral describes it as "bacterial SSU rRNA". It matches the Rfam family "Bacterial small subunit ribosomal RNA", at positions 1 to 758 of the family's 1533-position model. The record is from RNAcentral.